Molecule: transfer RNA, 74 nt
Filed under: Candidatus Woesearchaeota archaeon
Lineage: Archaea; Nanobdellati; Candidatus Woesearchaeota
Description: tRNA-Val
Rfam family: tRNA
About the family: Transfer RNA (tRNA) molecules are approximately 80 nucleotides in length. Their secondary structure includes four short double-helical elements and three loops (D, anti-codon, and T loops). Further hydrogen bonds mediate the characteristic L-shaped molecular structure. tRNAs have two regions of fundamental functional importance: the anti-codon, which is responsible for specific mRNA codon recognition, and the 3' end, to which the tRNAs corresponding amino acid is attached (by aminoacyl-tRNA synthetases). tRNAs cope with the degeneracy of the genetic code in two manners: having more than one tRNA (with a specific anti-codon) for a particular amino acid; and 'wobble' base-pairing, i.e. permitting non-standard base-pairing at the 3rd anti-codon position.
Source: RNAcentral
GGGCCCAUGGUCUAGUUGGUUAUGACAUCACCUCGACACGGUGAAGGUCGCCGGUUCGAAUCCGGCUGGGCCCA